This 502-nucleotide ribosomal RNA is filed under the name uncultured bacterium. Its description in RNAcentral is "partial 16S ribosomal RNA". It matches the Rfam family "Bacterial small subunit ribosomal RNA", at positions 28 to 523 of the family's 1533-position model. The record is from RNAcentral.
GAUGAACGCUAGCGGCAGGCCUAACACAUGCAAGUCGAGGGGCAGCACAGAGACAGCAAUGUUUUGGUGGCGACCGGCGGACGGGUGCGUAACGCGUAUGCAACCUACCUUUAACAGGGGGAUAACGGAGAGAAAUUUCCACUAAUACCCCAUAACAUCGAUCAAGGCAUCUUGAUUGGUUGAAAACUCCGGUGGUUAAAGAUGGGCAUGCGUUGUAUUAGGUAGUUGGUGAGGUAAUGGCUCACCAAGCCUACGAUACAUAGGGGGACUGGGGGGUUAGCCCCCAACACGGGUGCUGAGACACGGACCAGACUCCUACGGGAGGCAGCAGUGAGGAAUAUUGGUCAAUGGGGGCAACCCUGAACCAGCCAUGCCGCGUGCAGGAAGACGGCUCUAUGAGUUGUAAACUGCUUUUAAACAGGGAUAAAGCACAGUAUGUAUACUGUGUUGAAGGUACUGUAAGAAUAAGGAUCGGCUAUCUCCGUGCCAGCCGCCGCCGUAA